GAUGAACGCUAGCUACAGGCUUAACACAUGCAAGUCGAGGGGAAACGACAUCGAAAGCUUGCUUUUGAUGGGCGUCGACCGGCGCACGGGUGAGUAACGCGUAUCCAACCUGCCCACCACUUGGGGAUAACCUUGCGAAAGUAAGACUAAUACCCGAUGAUAUCCCUAGAAGACAUCUGAAAGGGAUUAAAGAUUUAUCGGUGAUGGAUGGGGAUGCGUCUGAUUAGCUUGUUGGCGGGGUAACGGCCCACCAAGGCAACGAUCAGUAGGGGUUCUGAGAGGAAGGUCCCCCCACAUUGGAACUGAGACACGGUCCAAACUCCUACGGGAGGCAGCAGUGAGGAAUAUUGGUCAAUGGGCGAGAGCCUGAACCAGCCAAGUAGCGUGCAGGACGACGGCCCUA
RNAcentral lists this ribosomal RNA (403 nucleotides) under uncultured bacterium. RNAcentral's name for it is "bacterial SSU rRNA". It matches the Rfam family "Bacterial small subunit ribosomal RNA", at positions 28 to 419 of the family's 1533-position model. The record is from RNAcentral.